UAGACUUGACAUUGAUAGAAUACACCAGAGAUGGAGUAGUGCCUUUCGGGGAACUUGAAAACAGGUGCUGCACGGCUGUCGUCAGCUCGUGUCGUGAGAUGUUGGGUUAAGUCCCGCAACGAGCGCAACCCUCGUCCUUAGUUGCCAGCAGGUUAAGCUGGGCACUCUAAGGAGACUGCCUUCGUAAGGAGGAGGAAGGUGAGGACGACGUCAAGUCAUCAUGGCCCUUAUGGCUAGGGCUACACACGUGCUACAAUGGGGCGUACAGAGUGUUGCGAUACCGCGAGGUGGAGCUAAUCACUUAAAGCGUCUCUCAGUUCGGAUAGCAGUCUGCAACUCGACUGCUUGAAGCUGGAAUCACUAGUAAUCGUAGAUCAGCAAUGCUACGGUGAAUACGUUCCCGGGUCU
This 408-nucleotide ribosomal RNA is filed under the name uncultured bacterium. RNAcentral's name for it is "bacterial SSU rRNA". It matches the Rfam family "Bacterial small subunit ribosomal RNA", at positions 976 to 1381 of the family's 1533-position model. The record is from RNAcentral.